This 438-nucleotide ribosomal RNA is filed under the name uncultured bacterium. RNAcentral describes it as "bacterial SSU rRNA". It matches the Rfam family "Bacterial small subunit ribosomal RNA", at positions 958 to 1398 of the family's 1533-position model. The record is from RNAcentral.
AACGCGAAGAACCUUACCAGGGUUUGACAUCCUGUGCUCACUCCAGAGAUGGAGUUUCCCCGCAAGGGGCGCAGAGACAGGUGCUGCAUGGCUGUCGUCAGCUCGUGUCGUGAGAUGUUGGGUUAAGUCCCGCAACGAGCGCAACCCUUACUCGUAGUUGCUACCCGCAAGGGAGAACUCUACGAGGACUGCUCCGGAUAACGGAGAGGAAGGUGGGGAUGACGUCAAGUCAGCACGGCCUUUAUGUCCAGGGCUACACACGUGUUACAAUGCAUGGUACAGACUGUUGCGAACCCGCGAGGGGGAGCUAAUCGGACAAAACCAUGCUCAGUUCGGAUUGCAGUCUGCAACUCGGCUGCAUGAAGCUGGAAUCGCUAGUAAUGGCGUAUCAGAUCGACGCCGUGAAUACGUUCCCGGGCCUUGUACACACCGAGUAUA